Sinocyclocheilus anshuiensis is the source of this 567-nucleotide long non-coding RNA. RefSeq lists it as uncharacterized. The transcript has 5 exons. The record is from RefSeq and is a predicted model, not a curated record. NCBI's taxonomy places the organism in Eukaryota, Metazoa, Chordata, Actinopteri, Cypriniformes, Cyprinidae.
UGCUUUAUAUAACUGCACCAUUUUACACCCGUGUUUAAGAAUCUUUAACUCAACAGAAAUAAUGAGUAUCCGAGUAUCCAGUGAUUUCUGUAUGCUAUGUAGGAAUUUACGUGAUGUUGUUGAGAAAACUCAGGACGUCUAGUAACCUUACAUUUCGAGUAAGUGUCAAAGUGAGGCGGCAAGAAAAGUUAUCGACUUCUUCAAUAAACGUACCUGUGCAGCUUCAUGAAGACUGAAUGAAUCAUGGAGGACACGCAAGCAUUCAGAGAUGGGGAUUUUUCUCCAAGAUGCAGUCAAUUUCAGGGGGACAGAUCAAACUUACCAGAGCCCAGCUGUGUGUCCAUGAAGAGUAACUGGUCUAUGAAAGAACCGUUAAAAUUUGAUGGAAGACACAUCACCCGAUCUGAGCCAAAGUGACAGAUCAAUCUCACCAGAGUCCAGCUGUGUGUCCAUGAAGAGUGACCGGUCUAUGAAAGAACCAGUAAAAUUUGAGGGAAGACACACAUCAACUGAUCUGAGUAAGAAGUUAACGGACACUCCAAGAAUAUUUAGGGGAAAACACAUGCC